GGACCCGCACAAGCAGCGGAGCAUGUGGUUUAAUUCGAAGCAACGCGAAGAACCUUACCAAGACUUGACAUCGUAUGACCGCCAUAGAGAUAUGGAAUUCUGUAGCAAUACAGACAUAUAGACAGGUGGUGCAUGGUUGUCGUCAGCUCGUGUCGUGAGAUGUUGGGUUAAGUCCCGCAACGAGCGCAACCCUUAUGGUUAGUUGCCAAUAUUAAGUUAGGAACUCUGACCAGACUGCCGUGGACAACACGGAGGAAGGUGGGGAUGACGUCAAAUCAUCAUGCCCCUUACGUCUUGGGCUACACACGUGCUACAAUGGCUACUACAAAGAGCAGCAAUGCAGUAAUGCGGAGCGAAUCUCAAAAGGUAGUCUCAGUUCAGAUUGUGGGCUGCAACCCGCCCACAUGAAGUAGGAGUUGCUAGUAAUCGCGAAUCAGAAUGUCGUGGUGAAUGCGUUCCCGGGUCUU
Molecule: ribosomal RNA, 467 nt
Filed under: uncultured bacterium
Lineage: Bacteria
Description: bacterial SSU rRNA
Rfam family: Bacterial small subunit ribosomal RNA
Source: RNAcentral